RNAcentral lists this ribosomal RNA (228 nucleotides) under uncultured bacterium. RNAcentral's name for it is "partial 16S ribosomal RNA". It matches the Rfam family "Bacterial small subunit ribosomal RNA", at positions 104 to 334 of the family's 1533-position model. The record is from RNAcentral.
CGGGGUGAGUAAUGUCUGGGAAACUGCCUGAUGGAGGGGGGUAACUACUGGAAACGGUAGCUAUACCGCAUAACGUCGCAAGACCAAAGAGGGGGACCUUCGGGCCUCUUGCCAUCGGAUGUGCCCAGAUGGGAUUAGCUAGUAGGUGGGGUAAUGGCUCACCUAGGCGACGAUCCCUAGCUGGUCUGAGAGGAUGACCAGCCACACUGGAACUGAGACACGGUCCAG